AUACGAAGGUGGCAAGCGUUGUCCGGAAUUAUUGGGCGUAAAGCGCGCGCAGGCGGUCCUUUAAGUCUGAUGUGAAAGCCCACGGCUCAACCGUGGAGGGUCAUUGGAAACUGGGGGACUUGAGUGCAGAAGAGGAAAGUGGAAUUCCAAGUGUAGCGGUGAAAUGCGUAGAGAUUUGGAGGAACACCAGUGGCGAAGGCGACUUUCUGGUCUGUAACUGACGCUGAGGCGCGAAAGCGUGGGGAGCAAACAGGAUUAGAUACCCUGGUAGUCCACGCCGUAAACGAUGAGUGCUAAGUGUUAGGGGGUUUCCGCCCCUUAGUGCUGCAGCUAACGCAUUAAGCACUCCGCCUGGGGAGUACGGUCGCAAGACUGAAACUCAAAGGAAUUGACGGGG
Molecule: ribosomal RNA, 397 nt
Filed under: uncultured bacterium
Lineage: Bacteria
Description: partial 16S ribosomal RNA
Rfam family: Bacterial small subunit ribosomal RNA
Source: RNAcentral